This 309-nucleotide long non-coding RNA is filed under the name Trifolium pratense (red clover). RNAcentral describes it as "long non-coding RNA (TPRA_LNC005821)". Lineage: Eukaryota; Viridiplantae; Streptophyta; Magnoliopsida; Fabales; Fabaceae. The record is from RNAcentral.
GUACAUGUUCAAACUUUAUUUAUUUAUUUUAUUUUUUUGGUGAAUAUUUAUAUAUGUCUUUAUUUUUUUGGUGAAUAUUUAUAUAGUAUCUUUUUAUUUUUAUUUAUAUAUCUCUUUAUUUUUUUGGGGACAUGUUCAAACAUUCUUCGAUUCCCAAUUUUUUCAUAAAAUUUUAGGGUUUCUCUUUCAACAUCAAUUUCAAUCGAGACUCUCCCGUUUCGAAUUUUCCGAUCCGUGAAUAAAGGUUGAACGAUUUCAAUCUAGGGUUUCGUUUCGUUCCGAGAAUAAUGCCUCCGAAGACGACGAAAA